AAUAUUGGACAAUGGGCGAAAGACUGAUCCAGCCAUGCCGCGUGUGUGAAGAAGGUCUUCGCAUUGUAAAGCACUUUAAGUUGGGAGGAAGGGCAGUUAGUUAAUACCUUGCUGUUUUGACGUUACCGUCAGAAUAAGCACCGGCUAACUUCGGGCCUGCAGCCGCGGUAAUACGAAGGGUGCAAGUGUUAUUCGGAAUUACUGGGCGUAAAGCGAGCGUAGGUGGUUUGUUAAGUUGGAAGUGAAAGCCCCGGGCUCAACCUGGGGACUGCUUUCAAAACUGGCAAGCUAGAGUAUGGCAGAGGGUGGUGGAAUUUCCUGUGUAGCAGUGAAAUGCGUAGAUAUAGGAAGGAAAACAAGUGGCGAAGGCGACCACCUGGGCUAAUACUGACACUGAGGUGAGAAAGCGUGGGGAGCAAAC
RNAcentral lists this ribosomal RNA (421 nucleotides) under uncultured bacterium. RNAcentral describes it as "partial 16S ribosomal RNA". It matches the Rfam family "Bacterial small subunit ribosomal RNA", at positions 360 to 773 of the family's 1533-position model. The record is from RNAcentral.